CUAGUUGUGAUGGCUGAGGGGCUGUGGGGUCUCAGGGCUGAUUCUCCCAAUAGCAGGCUGUUGUUAUAUGAUUGUAUCGGCUUCCACAGUCUUGACAACUGUGCUUCGGCAGUCAUGUUAGUGCAACCAACCCGCAAGGGUCAGCGUCCCAAAAUCGCACCCUAUUCCCUAAUGUGAAGUGAACUACUUUUGCCUACAGGUCACUCUGGUCAAAGUAGUCCACUGUGUAGGGAAAUGGGGAUGCUGUUUGCUGCACGAACCCCAGUGUUCAGGAUCGUGUACCUCUGCUGCAGUUGGUUCAUUUACACACCGCCUUGCUUCUUCUGUUCAGGUGUAUAUUUCAAAGUUCAGGAAUGAUCUGUGAUACUUAACGCUGGGAUGAUAUCUGACCUGUCGCCAGACUAACCCUCCGGUCAGGUGAUGUCGCCAGACUAACCCUCCGGUCAGGUGAUGUCGCCAGACUAACCCUCCGGUCAGGUGAUGUCGCCAGACUAACCCUCCGGUCAGGUGAUGUCGUGUAGGAAACCUAUAGGAAGGUAAACUAUGAUCACCGUUCACAGUGAGUAAAUGUGAUGCUCCCUAAACUUUCAAUACAUUUUUAUUUUAUUUGUAUGUAAAAGAUGGGACAGGUAAACGCUCCUGCAAAAUAACCUGUGUUUCUACUCCACUACACCUCUGUCCCCUUCCGAGUACGUUGAUGUUUUCGGAGUAUUCUGUUCAGUGUGGUUGUGUUUUCACCAUAUAACCUGAGAGGGAAUAAUGAUUUAUUUUGCACUUAAGCCUCUUUCACAUCUAAACUCAUGUUGAUCUUCCCACCGGAACCAAGCAGGCCGUCCAACCUCCACCUACAGGUCUUCAAUUAGACACCACCACCUUCACCUCCCUCUAGAACCUGGGGGGAGGGACCACCUUCACCUCCCUCUGGAACUGGGGGGGGGAGACCACCUUCACCUCCCUCUGGAACCGGGGGAGGGGGUCACCUGCCACCAAACAGAAAUGAUUUGCUACUCUGUGCCGUAAUGAACAUGCCCCAAAACCAGAAGAGAAAGACUGAAAUGUUUUUGCUACGUUGUGCUCUAAUGAACAUGCCCCAAACCAGAAGAGAAAGACCUGUCUUUGUUUUUAGUUUUUUUCCGUUGCAAAAUGUUUUUCUAUGCUGUGCCAUACUGAACACCACCCAGAGUAAGAGAUGUGGGAGGAGCUAAAGUGGAGGCCCCAGGAAACAAACUGACAGAAUUGUUCUUGUCGUGAGCGAGGGGGGGGUCUAACAUCCCAAUGUCCACACUACUGUUUAGUAUGCCGUAUGAAUGGCCGAUCCAGUGCAUCGCUCCAUACUAAGUGAUAUUGUGACGUAGUCUGUCUUCUAAUGGGUGUUCAUUAUUGACUUGUGUUGAUGUGAAAAGAUGCAGUUGCCUGACUAUUAAAGCUGAAAGGGAUAGUUUACCUGAA
Oncorhynchus gorbuscha (pink salmon) is the source of this 1449-nucleotide long non-coding RNA. RefSeq lists it as uncharacterized. Lineage: Eukaryota; Metazoa; Chordata; Actinopteri; Salmoniformes; Salmonidae. The record is from RefSeq and is a predicted model, not a curated record. The transcript is spliced from 2 exons.